AGAACGACUCUCGGCAACGGAUAUCUCGGCUCUCGCAUCGAUGAAAAACGCAGCGAAAUGCGAUACUUGGUGUGAAUUGCAGAAUCCCGUGAACCAUCGAGUCUUUGAACGCAAGUUGCGCCCAAAGCCCUCGGGCCGAGGGCACGUCUGCCUGGGUGUCACGC
Molecule: ribosomal RNA, 164 nt
Filed under: Cicca perrieri
Lineage: Eukaryota; Viridiplantae; Streptophyta; Magnoliopsida; Malpighiales; Phyllanthaceae
Description: Phyllanthus perrieri 5.8S ribosomal RNA
Rfam family: 5.8S ribosomal RNA
About the family: 5.8S ribosomal RNA (5.8S rRNA) is a component of the large subunit of the eukaryotic ribosome. It is transcribed by RNA polymerase I as part of the 45S precursor that also contains 18S and 28S rRNA.
Source: RNAcentral